Molecule: long non-coding RNA, 692 nt
Organism: Xenopus tropicalis (tropical clawed frog)
Lineage: Eukaryota; Metazoa; Chordata; Amphibia; Anura; Pipidae
Exons: 3
Source: RefSeq, a predicted model, not a curated record
UGGUUCUAUAAUUCUGGUGAAUACCCAUAAGUAUUUAAGGAUAUCUGGAAAAUAAAAAUGUCCGCAGGACAGCCAGUAACCAAAUCUUGACCCGCCCUCACCUUUCUCAUUGGAUGGGGGCGUGAACUUUGUAAACUGGAGGUGUGAACCUUGUGAACUGUAUAUCAAUGGCCCAGACAACUGGGAAGAUAUAUGCCUUUGGGGACCGAGCUGCUCGGGAGGUAUAUGUCGCUAUUUCUCCGUCCCCCCGGAAACAGGAAUUACAUAGGAUCAUUCAAUUGGUGAUCUUCUGGUUGCACCAAACCAUCCCCAACUGCAAGGCACAGGAAAUCAGCAUGUCAGCACAUGGACAAAGGCAGACACAAGGGAAACUUGAAAGACAUCAAUGAAGAAAUGGAAUUCCUGGCAAACUGUUAUGGCUCCAGUACUAACCUGUGAGGAAUAUUUAACAAGACCCCCUUGGUCAAGAAAAAAUAAUAGGCUGCUUCUAUUUUUUUCUGUAGAAGUUGCAAAUCAUAAGCAGUGGUUGCUAUUUAACUGAAAAUAUCUUGAGACCGUCUUGGAGGAAAUCAACUCCCAAAAAUUGCAAUGUAUGAUCUCCUAGAAAAAACUUGACUUUUUUUCUGUUUUAAAUUGUAGUGUUCUGUCCCUGAAGAGAGCAUUUAAUUGAAAUAAAAUUGAGAUUACUAAGA